AUGGAUCGGAUAUGUCUUGACAAGUCUUGCUAGUUAAAACUUAGAACACAUUAUGGUGCGGAAUGAGGCAUGUUUACUGUUGACAGAUUAGCUUAUUUAGGCAACCAUGUGAAUUCAUAAACAAAAACUUUCUGACCAAUACUAAUGGCAUCAGAUUUGUCAAUUAACUGUAACCGAAAAUCCAAGGACCAACCAAUAUCCAUUGAUAGCUGCCCAACUGCCACAACUUUGAAUGUAGAUAUUUCCUUGUAUGAAUGCUCCAAAUUUUUAGUUCUUUUCUACAAGAACUCAUCACAAAUAAAUCAUUUAUACAUAUUAAGCAGUUGAAUGAAAAGAAAUAUACCUACUUGUGCCAAAUCGAGGUGUUUCACCCUGCACACCACUAAUAGCAGACAUCACUGAUAUAGCUGGAGUCAGAAUACCAUCUCCUAUAACCAUG
This 439-nucleotide unclassified non-coding RNA is filed under the name Hevea brasiliensis (rubber tree). The record is from RNAcentral. Lineage: Eukaryota; Viridiplantae; Streptophyta; Magnoliopsida; Malpighiales; Euphorbiaceae.